Non-coding RNA from Epinephelus lanceolatus (giant grouper), 186 nucleotides. Lineage: Eukaryota; Metazoa; Chordata; Actinopteri; Perciformes; Serranidae. The record is from RefSeq and is a predicted model, not a curated record.
GCAGAUUAGCUGCUUGCUGUUAAUCCGUCUGCAGCGUGUCUGUCAGUCAACAUGUCGUCGGUCAGAAGGAACCCAGUCUUGCUCUUCUCAGUGCUGCUGGUUGUUGUCUCGGUGUCGGCCUUCGUGGAGGAGCUCGAUGACUCCUUCCUGGAGACGAGAGGAGCCGACGACAUCUGGCUCAUCAAA